RNAcentral lists this unclassified non-coding RNA (325 nucleotides) under Hevea brasiliensis (rubber tree). The record is from RNAcentral. Lineage: Eukaryota; Viridiplantae; Streptophyta; Magnoliopsida; Malpighiales; Euphorbiaceae.
UUGGGUGAUAUAUAUGGGAGAUGGUCUCUGAUGAUAUAUUACAUUUUUCAUAGUUGUUGGAGGUUCAGGUUGAAGCAAUAGCUACCACCUAGUGGUCUAAUUCAACUCGAUUUUCGAAGGGGUUCUUGAAACUUGGCCAUGAGAAGCCCUUUGGUCAAUAAACUAUCAUUAAUUUUCGGCCCUAGACCGCCACUCAACCGAAUACUCUUGUGUCUGGUCAGUGUCUGUGUGCUACUAGUAUUGUUAUCAUCAUUUUCUACUACUACCUUUGACUCGGCGACUUCCUAUGCAAAGCCUGAUAUCUAUACAAAUUAUAGAAAGCUAA